Molecule: ribosomal RNA, 481 nt
Filed under: uncultured bacterium
Lineage: Bacteria
Description: bacterial SSU rRNA
Rfam family: Bacterial small subunit ribosomal RNA
Source: RNAcentral
UCAGUCGACUCCUACGGGGAGGCAGCAGUGGGGAAUAUUGCACAAUGGGGGAAACCCUGAUGCAGCCAUGCCGCGUGUGUGAAGAAGGCCUUCGGGUUGUAAAGCACUUUCAGUAGGGAGGAAGGUAGUGUAGUUAACACCUGCACUAUUUGACGUUACCUACAGAAGAAGCACCGGCUAACUCCGUGCCAGCAGCCGCGGUAAUACGGGAGGGUGCGAGCGUUAAUCGGAAUUACUGGGCGUAAAGCGCAUGCAGGCGGCCUGUUAAGUCAGAUGUAGAAAGGCCCGGGGCUUAACCUACGGUAAUUGCAUUUAGAAACUGGCAGGCUAGAGUCUUGUAGAGGGGGGUAGGAAUUUCAGGUGUAGCGGUGAAAUGCGUAGAGAUCUGAAGGAAUACCAGUGGCGAAGGCGGCCCCCUGGACAAAGACUGACGCUCAGAUGCGAAAGCGUGGGGAGCAAACAGGAUUAGAUACCCUGGUAG